AGCGAACGCUGGCGGCAGGCUUAACACAUGCAAGUCGAACGGGUACUUCGGUGCUAGUGGCAGACGGGUGAGUAACACGUGGGAACGUACCUUUCGGUUCGGAAUAAUUCAGGGAAACUUGGACUAAUACCGGAUACGCCCUUCGGGGGAAAGAUUUAUCGCCGAAAGAUCGGCCCGCGUCUGAUUAGCUAGUUGGUGAGGUAAUGGCUCACCCAGGCGACGAUCAGUAGCUGGUCUGAGAGGAUGAUCAGCCACAGUGGGACUGAGACACGGCCGAAACUCCUACGGGAGGCUGUAGUGGGGACUAUUGGACAAUGGGCGCAAGCAUGAUCCAGCCAUGCCGCGUGAGUGAUAAAGGCCUUAGGGUUGUAAAGCUCUUUUGUCCGGGAAGAUAAUGACUGUACCGGAAGAAUAAGCCCCGGCUAACUUCGUGCCAGCCGCCGCGGUAA
RNAcentral lists this ribosomal RNA (449 nucleotides) under uncultured bacterium. Its description in RNAcentral is "partial 16S ribosomal RNA". It matches the Rfam family "Bacterial small subunit ribosomal RNA", at positions 29 to 523 of the family's 1533-position model. The record is from RNAcentral.